This is a long non-coding RNA of Mesocricetus auratus (golden hamster), 878 nucleotides long. RefSeq lists it as uncharacterized. Lineage: Eukaryota; Metazoa; Chordata; Mammalia; Rodentia; Cricetidae. The record is from RefSeq and is a predicted model, not a curated record. The transcript is spliced from 6 exons.
GGGAAAGGGCGUGGCCCUGUCCUGAGUCAGCAGAGCAGCAGCAGGGUCACCAGCGCCGUCAGCCCCGCCCACACUGACACACGCAUCGCCACAAUCGCCACUGUCACCUGGCUCCUGACGUCACAGGGCGGGGGGCGUGGCCAGCGCUGCCAGGAGACACAGGGCAGCGGCCAUGAGGGGCAGUGGGAACCGGAAGACGCCGGACCAUCGCGCCAACUUCAGUGAAAGCCCGAAUUCCGCCUGGCAGUCCUCAAUCACCGCCGUAGCGUGACGUCAUCGCGCCACCCCGCCUCAGGCUCCGCCCUCCCCAGGGGCGAAGGCGGGACUUCCGGGACCAGAAACUGAGGCGGGAAUCACUGAGAGCCUUUGAUUUCCUGGUAAACCGCGGCGACUGUCAAUCAGCCCCGGAGGGGAGUGACUUCCGUGUGAUCUCCCAGCUUCCUGUCCAUCACAGGCAGAGGCUCCAGUCUGUCAAAGGAAAGCAGGCGGGACUUCCUGGACCAGAGACUGCAGGCCUGGUUCCUCUCAUGAAUAUGCAAAUGAGAGCCCGGAUCGGCUUUCGCUCAUUAAUAUGCAAAUCAGCAUCAAUGUGUCCUCCCCCCAUGCUCCUUCACUUCCUCCUGACAGCCUGGUCAGGGUCAGGCACCAGAUGCUGAUUAGAAAGGAGAAUUCUGCUCCAUUGAAGAGAAUGAGCGUCAGGCAGCGAUGAGCUCCAUAACUGUUUACACAAUGAAACACGAGGACCAGGGUUCCAUUUCCAGAACGCAUGCCAGUUAACCAUUUGCUGUAACUCCAGUCCCAGGCAUCUCCUGCCUUCUUCCCACCUCUGAAAAGAGUAGUUUUUGAAAUAUCGCCCAUACACUCCUUGCUUCCUGAAG